Molecule: long non-coding RNA, 243 nt
Organism: Neomonachus schauinslandi (Hawaiian monk seal)
Lineage: Eukaryota; Metazoa; Chordata; Mammalia; Carnivora; Phocidae
Exons: 3
Source: RefSeq, a predicted model, not a curated record
CUUCAGUCUCAGCAGGAGCCAGAAAAUUGGGAUCAGAAAGCCAGUAUGGAAAAUUUUGACAGCUGUCAGGAAGGAGGUUAUUGAAUUCAUUGGAGAAUGAGUGCUGUCCUAAAUUUGGGAAAUGCUACAAGAUGUCUGUCUCGUAAAGUGAUGGUGCGAGGCCUCGAAGUCGAAGUGGAAGAGAAGCACGCUAGCCAGCACGGAAGAAGCAUCAGUGGGAAAGUCAAUGGCACAGUGACAAGC